CAGAGGGAGUUUCUCAGCAGGAUUUACAGUCAAAUAGUAACAUGGUCUUGGGGGCAGGACGGCAACUGGCAAAGUUCAUGGAAUUACAGUCACUGAAUGAUCUUGGCUAUCCAAAAAGAUAUAUCCGAACUCUGCAGAUAUCUGAAGUUGUCAAGAGCAUGAAGGAUCUGAUGAAUUUCACUGGCGAGCACAAAAUCGGCCCUAUUGGUAAUAAGUCUACUAACUUUCCCGCUGGUGCAUCUUU
This is a non-coding RNA of Camelina sativa (false flax), 244 nucleotides long. NCBI's taxonomy places the organism in Eukaryota, Viridiplantae, Streptophyta, Magnoliopsida, Brassicales, Brassicaceae. The record is from RefSeq and is a predicted model, not a curated record.